AUACGGAGGGUCCGAGCGUUAUCCGGAAUCAUUGGGUUUAAAGGGUCCGUAGGCGGGAAUCUAAGUCAGUGGUGAAAUCUUGCAGCUCAACUGUAAAACUGCCAUUGAUACUGGAUUUCUUGAAUUAGUGUGAAGUGGUUAGAAUGUGUAGUGUAGCGGUGAAAUGCAUAGAUAUUACACAGAAUACCAAUUGCGAAGGCAGAUCACUAACACUAUAUUGACGCUACGGGACGAAAGCGUGGGGAGCGAACAGGAUUAGAAACCCUAGUAGUCC
Molecule: ribosomal RNA, 274 nt
Filed under: uncultured bacterium
Lineage: Bacteria
Description: partial 16S ribosomal RNA
Rfam family: Bacterial small subunit ribosomal RNA
Source: RNAcentral